CGGGGUGCACCAGGCGCGAAAACUUUACAAUGCGGGAAACCGUGAUAAGGGGACACCGAGUGCCAGCAUCAUAUGCUGGCUGUCCAGGUGUGCAAAAUACACCUGUUAGCAAGGGCCGGGCAAGACCGGUGCCAGCCGCCGCGGUAACACCGGCGGCCCGAGUGGUGAUCGUGAUUAUUGGGUCUAAAGGGUCCGUAGCCGGUUUGGUCAGUCCUCCGGGAAAUCUGACAGCUUAACUGUUAGGCUUUCGGAGGAUACUGCCAGACUUGGAACCGGGAGAGGUAAGAGGUACUACAGGGGUAGGAGUGAAAUCUUGUAAUCCCUGUGGGACCACCUGUGGCGAAGGCGUCUUACCAGAACGGGUUCGACGGUGAGGGACGAAAGCUGGGGGCACGAACCGGAUUAGAUACCCGGGUAGUCCCAGCCGUAAACGAUGCUCGCUAGGUGUCAGGCAUGGCGCGACCGUGUCUGGUGCCGCAGGGAAGCCGUGAAGCGAGCCACCUGGGAAGUACGGCCGCAAGGCUGAAACUUAAAGGAAUUGGCGGGGGAGCACAAGGGCGAUUCGC
RNAcentral lists this ribosomal RNA (566 nucleotides) under uncultured archaeon. RNAcentral describes it as "bacterial SSU rRNA". It matches the Rfam family "Archaeal small subunit ribosomal RNA", at positions 326 to 894 of the family's 1478-position model. The record is from RNAcentral.